UAAACUUUCUAAAACCCUUACACAUGCAAGUCGAGGGGGUAACGAUGUAGCUUGCUACAGGCGACGACCGGCGCACGGGUGCGUAACGCGUAUGCAACCUGCCUAUUACAGAGGGAUAGCCCAUGGAAACGUGGAUUAAUACCUCAUAAUAAUUUUUAUAGCAUUAUAAAAAUUUGAAAACUCAGGUGGUAAUAGAUGGGCAUGCGUGACAUUAGCUAGUUGGUGAGGUAAGGGCUCACCAAGGCGACGAUGUCUAGGGGUUCUUAAAGGAAGGUCCCCCACACUGGUACUGAGACACGGACCAGACUCCUACGGGAGGCAGCAGUGAGGAAUAUUGGUCAAUGGGCGCAAGCCUGAACCAGCCACUCCGCGUGAAGGAUUACAGCCCUAUGGGUUUUAAACUUCUUUUAUAUGGGAAGAAUUGUAGUUACAUGUAAUUACUUGCCGGUACCAUAUGAAUAAGCAUCGGCUAACUCCGUGCCAGCAGCCGCGGUAAUACGGAGGAUGCAAGCGUUAUCCGGAUUUAUUAGGUUUAAAGGGUGCGUAGGCUGUUGUACAAGUCAGUGGUGAAAUCCUAUAGCUCAACUAUAGAAUUGCCUUUGAAACUGUAUGACUAGAAUUCAGGAGAGGUAGGCGGAAUGUGUAGUGUAGCGGUGAAAUGCAUAGAUAUUACACAGAACACCAAUUUGCGAAGGCAGCUUGCUAAACUGCGAUUGACGCUGAUGCACGAAAGCGUGGGGUAGCGAACAGGAUUAGAUACCCUGGUAGU
RNAcentral lists this ribosomal RNA (769 nucleotides) under uncultured Sphingobacteriales bacterium. RNAcentral describes it as "bacterial SSU rRNA". It matches the Rfam family "Bacterial small subunit ribosomal RNA", at positions 30 to 794 of the family's 1533-position model. The record is from RNAcentral. Lineage: Bacteria; Pseudomonadati; Bacteroidota; Sphingobacteriia; Sphingobacteriales.